GGGAGGAGGAGGUAGUGGAGACAGAAGGAGGAGGAGGUAGUAGAGACAGAGGGAGGAGGUAGUGGAGACAGAGGGAGGAGGAGGUAGUGGAGACAGGGAGGAGGAGAUAGUAGAGACAGAGAGAGGAGGAGGUAGUGGAGACAGAGGGAGGAGGUAGUGGAGACAGAGGGAGGAGGUAGUGGAGACAGUUGGAGGAGUAGGUAGUAGAGACAGAGGGAGGAGGAGGUGGUGGAGACAGAGGGAGGAGGAGGUGGUGGAGACAGAAGGAGGAGGAGGUAGUGGAGACAGAGGGAGUAGGAAGUGGAGACAGAGGGAGGAGGGAGUGGAGACAGAAGAGGAGGGAGUGGAGACAGAGGGGAGGAGGAGGUAGUGGAGACAGUGGGAGGAGGUAGUGGAGACAGAGGCAGGUGCGAGUGGAGACAGAGGGAGGAGGAGGUAGUGGAGACAGUGGGAGGAGGAGGUAGUGGAGUCAAUGGGAGGAGGAGGUAGUGGAGUCAGUGGGAGGAGGUAGUGGAGACAGAGGGAGGAGGAGGUAGUGGAGACAGGGAGGAGGAGGUAGUGGAGACAGGGAGGAGGAGGUAGUGGAGACAGAGGAGG
This is a long non-coding RNA of Oncorhynchus tshawytscha (Chinook salmon), 597 nucleotides long. The record is from Ensembl. Lineage: Eukaryota; Metazoa; Chordata; Actinopteri; Salmoniformes; Salmonidae.